Helianthus annuus (common sunflower) is the source of this 430-nucleotide long non-coding RNA. RefSeq lists it as uncharacterized. NCBI's taxonomy places the organism in Eukaryota, Viridiplantae, Streptophyta, Magnoliopsida, Asterales, Asteraceae. The transcript is spliced from 3 exons. The record is from RefSeq and is a predicted model, not a curated record.
GUCGAUCGAACAGGAAGCAGGACAAGAGGGGAAACCCUAGUAUCAAGAAAAUUAAGCAAUUGAACUUGAAUCAAUGGAGAAAUCUAAUGCAUGAACCCUUAAAUGCGAGUAGCUAACCUCAAUUUCUAAAGUGGCGUGAAGGAAGAAGGUUCAAGUACUAAGAAAUCGGAAGGCUCACAAGAUCGAGGUAAAUCCUCAAUUUAGGCGACUUGGAGAAUCGGAGCAAGCACGUGUUCAUGUUAUGUCAUACCAAGCGCUUCCGCUAGCUUGUUCUAAUGUUUUUGGUCCAAUACUUGUUUAUUUUGCAUAACCUUGUUAGUAGUCAUACUUUUUCUAAAACAUGUUGUCUUGGUUUUUGGUAGUAUUUUGUCGAACGAAUCGUAGAAUUGUAUUUAGAUUGUUUAUGGUAAAAACAGGGGUAUAUCCGUUU